GAUCAUGGCUCAGAACGAACGCUGGCGGCGUGGAUAAGACAUGCAAGUCGAACGGGAGAAUUGCUAGCUUGCUAAUAAUUCUCUAGUGGCGCACGGGUGAGUAACACGUGAGUAACCUGCCCUCUUAGUGGGGGAUANCCCUGGGAAACCGGGGUUAAUACCGCAUACGAUUGAAAGAUCAAAGCAGCAAUGCGCUAGGAGAUGGGGCUCGCGGCCUAUUAGUUAGUUGGUGAGGUAACGG
This 241-nucleotide ribosomal RNA is filed under the name uncultured bacterium. RNAcentral's name for it is "partial 16S ribosomal RNA". It matches the Rfam family "Bacterial small subunit ribosomal RNA", at positions 15 to 263 of the family's 1533-position model. The record is from RNAcentral.